UAUGAGAUAACUGUUCUUCAAUGUCAACAUUCUGCAGGUAGAGCCAUCAGCCCUGAGAAGGUGAGUGACAGAUCCAGGCUUACCUAGCUAAUGAGCACUGGAAUGUGCUCAGCCUCUCCAUAGGGUUAUAAGCAGAGGCAGAUAAUCUUCCCAAUCAUCAUAUAAGACUUACAUCAUGGCUCUUUCUGUCCUCCUUAGCCCAACCAAAAAGAUGGACCAUCUGAAAGACUUAAUUAGAAGUACAAUGGUAGAAACAUUUAAGAAAGAAGUAGAGCCCAGCAUGAAUCUCAUGAUCUAUAAGUGUACCUGAAGUCAGAAGACAUCAAUGAAAAAAUCUACCUUUUAUUACUGAUAAUUCAGGAAUCUUGAUAAUUUGGGAAUUCUGCAUCUUUUAGCUACUCUUAUCUCUAAAAUUUGAUUUUUUUUCUCUGAAAUGUAUAACUGAAAUACUUGAAUUGACUUUUUUUAGCAUUUAUCAUAAUAUUUAGUCAUAAUGAAGAAAUUCUGCCCUAAGGAAACGGCAAUUUUGCAUCAAGUAGAUCAGUUUAGCCAUGAAUUUCUGUACUAAAUGCAGUCCUCAAUAUUGAUCAAAAUAAUGAAAAAAGGAUGAAAUUAAUCCUGAAAUUAUCCUGUAAAACAUUUCUUGCCUUCAAGCUGAUGUUCACACCUUCCAUUCUUGGUAACUCUGGAGUCAGAGGAGAGCUUAACAGAACUAGUGAAUACCAUCCUCAGAAAGGAUCCCCACUAGACUGUCUGCAUUUGGGCACUUUCCAGGGAAGAACUGUGUCUAAACAGCACGAGUGCUAUGCAGCUCUGCCCCCCAUAACCGACUACCACAUGAUGGAUUCCCUCAAGUGCAUUAAUAUGUAUAUGUUUCAGAGAGGAGAUGUUCUUAUUGUAUUCUCUCUUACCCACAAAUUCAAAAUCUAAGAAUAUGUGACAAUAAUUAUUUUAAGUGAGUUUAUUUUUUCUAACCAAUUUAACAUAGUAACUUCAUGUAAAAUAACACUAUUAUCACCAAGUGAUAUAACUACUGAGUAUGAAAAAGAAAGCUAAAAUUACUAAAAUAUCUACCACUGUG
This 1081-nucleotide long non-coding RNA is filed under the name Vulpes vulpes (red fox). RNAcentral describes it as "lncRNA (ENSVVUG00000020865.1)". Lineage: Eukaryota; Metazoa; Chordata; Mammalia; Carnivora; Canidae. The record is from RNAcentral.